CAAAGAGUAUGAGGAGAAAAACAAUUCAUUACUCGUGUGGAAACCCCCUCAAACAAAUAAACCACUAUAUUUUGGCUCUCGCUAUUAUGUACCCAACUCAGCAGAACUCACAGUGAAUCCAAAGGAACUGGAGUUUUCCUAUAGGAGCCCAGGACAGCUGCAAUCUUUUAUGGAAAUUUGCUUAAGAAAACACAGGAAAAUAAAUCUCAGCUUGAAAAAUGAAGACAACACUGUUUGGGAUGCUUGGCUGGACCAAGAGGACUUACAGGUUCCGACAAGUCAAAGAACAGAGGAUGCAGCCAGAGAACAAAGGAUUCAGCAGGUAUCUUCUGCUUCUGGCAUGCAACAUCCAGAAAAAGGUACUGUGAUUAGUGUCUUCCCGCUGUGUACAAAUCUGCCACA
Candoia aspera is the source of this 402-nucleotide long non-coding RNA. RefSeq lists it as uncharacterized. The record is from RefSeq and is a predicted model, not a curated record. The transcript is spliced from 3 exons. NCBI's taxonomy places the organism in Eukaryota, Metazoa, Chordata, Lepidosauria, Squamata, Candoiidae.